UCCGUGGACAGUCAGGUCUCCACUCUCUGCCUCCCCGAUGACAGUAUACCACGAAGCACCAACCUGCCUAUCCAUAUAUUCUGAUUUAAGAAUAUAAUAUAAUAUAACAUAAUAAAUAUACGUAAUAAAAUAUAGUGAUUCCUACGGUUCUCUUCCUGAAGGUGUCAGAGGUCGCCAGGGGCCCCACAGACAGGCUCCUGUAUAAAUCUCUACCUGCUCAGGAGAUUUACGGGGAUAGCUGACUGUGCAGGGGUGGGGAGGGCAGAAACCAGGAAUGGAAGAAUGACUUAUGAUUGCUGUCUACACAGGCAGGCCCUUGUUGUUGGAAAUGGCUUUCUUGUUGCUUCUGUUGUUUGAAGUCUCAACAAAUGUAGGAAUAUGAACUGGGUCUCCAUCAGGGGCUGAGGUUUUCUGAGGUGGAGAUCAUUAACAAGAAUAAUUCUUGUCCAUGCACGGUAUUUAUCACCUGUACCCUUGGCGGGGGCUGAGAAACCACCCGGUUCCAGAGAAGAGUAGUGGGCAGUGUUAGGUCAGGGUGUGAAUGACAAUCCAAAGCGAUAAUGUCACUCUGUCCUCAGCCUCGACCUCUGUCCUCAGAGAAACUGACGGUUCCUUGACCUUAACGCCACAGUGGGCGGUGGGAUUCCACAGAGGGAAAGGGCUGGGCUGUGGUCAUGGCAUCAGGAAGCCUGCGGGCAGCCUCGGCAGUAGCACAGGGACCCUGUCCAUGUGACACACGCUUGGGGGAGGUGCUGUAAUUCAGCCCCAACCCCUGGAUGGAUGGCCCCCAUUUCAGAGAGCCACUGUCCCCGGGAAAGGACCAGGUAUGGGCCUCCAGGUGCUCAGCCCACUGUGACAGUGAUGUGGGCACCCUUCAGUCCUCCAUCCUCAUCUGCUCCCGCCUGUCCCACCCAAGGGACGUACUGACUGAGCUGAGCUCCCUGAGGUCAGGCAUGGCCUGGGGCCUGGCUGCACUGCACCUUCCGAGCAAUCCCCGGCCAGUUGCUUAACCAUUUGGGGCCCCCGAAACAUGAUCACAACAGCCUUGGUAUUGCGGGUGUGAACCCCGACAGGCGGCAUGAGUCCAAGGACUUCAGAACAGCACCCCUUGCCUGGAUCCACAAGCCUGAGCUGUUGGGACUGCGUCGUCUGUCCUCAUCGCUCUCUUUUUCUGUUGCCACCCUUUGGCCUGUGUCUCUGUCCCCACAUAGCCCUCACCAAACCCUCCUCUGCUUCGGUCUUUGUCAGUUUGUCUCUGUGUUUCCCCCUCCCUCUCCUCUGGGUCCUCUGGGUCCUCUGGGUCCUCUGGGUCCUCUGGGUCUCUUUCUGUCUGGAUCUUCAUGUCUCCCGGUGUCCCUCUUCUUGGCCCUUCAAUAUUUCCUGCUAGCCUGGCCUCCUCUUUCAUUCCUCAGACUUGGAGCAUUAUGACAUCAGAGGGUUUCAAAUCCUGGGCAGGGAAACGAACUCUCCUGAAUGGUGAGCACCACCACCUUGGUGAAGCCUAAGCUCCAAAACCCAGAAUUUACUACUGCGAGUAAUCCCACCUGAAGCUAAGCCAACUCGGCAGAGCAGCCUGCGGGUCAGGAGCCUAUGGCCAGCCCUCCCAUGGAGCACUGCCAAGCCACAGCCCUCUGCUGGGUGCUAAAAAUAGGUUGUCCUGAAGACUUGGUGAGAUAACAAGGCACAAGUGCUGUCAGCUACAUUACUGUAUAGAAAUUCAAAGAUGGAAGGUCAAGACUAGGACAAGCUGAGCUGCCUUGAUUUUGUCACUCACAGAUCUGUCAAUGUUCAUGCCUUCAAGAGUCACAAUCUCAAAAAUAUGAUAGCAUUUAAUAGAAGAACCGAAGUUUUAAAUCCCUGAAGGACUGGCCUUUGGAAGAGUGUGAAAUAGCCUGUCCCACUAUCUUCAUCUACCACAAGAGAUGCGAGAGAUAAUGUAUUGAGAGCUCCCCAUUCUCACUACUCAAGAUGGCUUAGAAAAGUUUCUGCUUCUUUUGUUUUCAUGAUUUCUAUUCUACAUGACUGUGACUCCCUGUGAUUCCAUCCAGAAUCAGGAAAUCAAGGAGGACAGUGGGGAGGGAAAAUCAGAGACCAAUCAAAAUGUGACGACCUCAACAAAGGGCUAUAAUAUGACAGUGUUAAUCUAAAUAAUGCCACAGGUUAGGUCUUAUAAUCAAAAGUAGUAAAACUCCACCUUUAUAUCAAUGUUAUGCAAAUGUCUUUAGUAUUCUCUUACUUCAUAUCAAUGAGAUGUAUUUGUGUGACUAUGAUGGCCUAGUUUGUCUUCAAGGAAACCCAGAAAGGCCUCAGGGCCCAGAAACA
Canis lupus familiaris (dog) is the source of this 2322-nucleotide long non-coding RNA. RefSeq lists it as uncharacterized. NCBI's taxonomy places the organism in Eukaryota, Metazoa, Chordata, Mammalia, Carnivora, Canidae. The record is from RefSeq and is a predicted model, not a curated record. The transcript is spliced from 4 exons.